Molecule: non-coding RNA, 225 nt
Organism: Pelobates cultripes (western spadefoot toad)
Lineage: Eukaryota; Metazoa; Chordata; Amphibia; Anura; Pelobatidae
Source: the annotation of a GenBank genome assembly
CUAUUAAUGUUCCAUGUUCGGUGCCAUCUAGCUGGAAGAUUGAGUCCUCACUGGAUCCAUUGUUGUAGUAGUCAGUGCAGGCUAUUGCCAGGGCUGAUAUGUUCUGAUUAGUCUCAGGAAUUGUGGGUAGAUAAGCAGCGGCUACCACUGAGCUCAUCCCAAGUGUAAGGAUAAUCUUCAGAAAGCCGUCCAUGGUCACUCAGUGAGUCAGUCUCCAGGACAAAC